This 440-nucleotide ribosomal RNA is filed under the name uncultured bacterium. RNAcentral's name for it is "partial 16S ribosomal RNA". It matches the Rfam family "Bacterial small subunit ribosomal RNA", at positions 338 to 795 of the family's 1533-position model. The record is from RNAcentral.
ACUACGGGUCGCAGCAGUGGGGAAUAUUGCACAAUGGGGGAAACCCUGAUGCAGCAACGCCGCGUGAGUGAAGAAGUAUUUCGGUAUGUAAAGCUCUAUCAGCAGGGAAGAAGAUGACGGUACCUGAAUAAGAAGCCCCGUCUAACUACGUGCCAGCAGCCGCCGUAAUAAGUAGGGGGCAAGCGUUAUCCGGAUUUACUGGGUGUAAAGGGAGCGCAUACGGCAGUGCAAGUCUGGAGUGAAAGCUCGGGGCCCAACCCCGGAACUGCUCUGGAAACUGUGUGUCUAGAGUACUGGAGGGGCAGGCGGAAUGCCUAGUGUAGCGGUGAAAUGCGGAGAUAUUAGGAGGAACACCAGUGGCGAAGGCAGCAUGCUGGACAGUAACUGACGUUGAGGCUCGAAAGCGUGGGGAGCAAACAGGAUUAGAUACCCCAGUAGUC